Molecule: ribosomal RNA, 514 nt
Filed under: Escherichia coli
Lineage: Bacteria; Pseudomonadati; Pseudomonadota; Gammaproteobacteria; Enterobacterales; Enterobacteriaceae
Description: bacterial SSU rRNA
Rfam family: Bacterial small subunit ribosomal RNA
Source: RNAcentral
GGGCGUGGGGUAGACUGUCUGGGAACUGCCUGAUGGAGGGGGAUAACUACUGGAAACGGUAGCUAAUACCGCAUAACGUCGCAAGACCAAAGAGGGGGACCUUCGGGCCUCUUGCCAUCGGAUGUGCCCAGAUGGGAUUAGCUAGUAGGUGGGGUAAAGGCUCACCUAGGCGACGAUCCCUAGCUGGUCUGAGAGGAUGACCAGCCACACUGGAACUGAGACACGGUCCAGACUCCUACGGGAGGCAGCAGUGGGGAAUAUUGCACAAUGGGCGCAAGCCUGAUGCAGCCAUGCCGCGUGUAUGAAGAAGGCCUUCGGGUUGUAAAGUACUUUCAGCGGGGAGGAAGGGAGUAAAGUUAAUACCUUUGCUCAUUGACGUUACCCGCAGAAGAAGCACCGGCUAACUCCGUGCCAGCAGCCGCGGUAAUACGGAGGGUGCAAGCGUUAAUCGGAAUUACUGGGCGUAAAGCGCACGCAGGCGGUUUGUUAAGUCAGAUGUGAAUCCCCCGGGCUA